This 29-nucleotide non-coding RNA is filed under the name Homo sapiens (human). Lineage: Eukaryota; Metazoa; Chordata; Mammalia; Primates; Hominidae. The record is from RNAcentral.
UGGAUUCGCUGGUGUCCAACAAGAGCUGA